CGGAAAUAUAAAAAAAGAAAUUUUAUAGCAAACCGUUUCGUUGAGACAUCCUCUUCAUGGUAUACGUUUAGAUGAAGGAUAAAAGGUUACACAAUGAAUUAAAAGAGUUUGUAAUAGGUAACACUUAUUUGCUUAUUAUUCUUUAACACUAUAAAAAUUAUUUAUUAUCUAUAUAGAAUGAUAAAAUCACAGAUAUGUAUGAAAUUGUUAAAUACGACAGAUGGAAGCAACAAUUAUUUUAUGGUUAAAAGAUUUGUUCGAUUAAUUUAAUGGCGCGACACGACCGAAUUAAUUUCUUUCGAUGAUUCGAUAUGAAGUUAUUAGUUCUACUGAACUUUUCCAUAGUUUACGAACAUGGAUAUUAACUACAUUUAAGAACAUCACAUGAUCACUUGUUGUACCUCACGGCUUCACCCGGUUACUUUGCUUUUAAUAAAUAUCUCUUAGACCAACAUUAAAUUUUCGACUGUAGGCCAGUUGAAGGACGGUUUCUAAAACUACUCAAAGGGCCUCAUUUUCACGUGUUUAUUAUUUCUUACGUUAAAAGCAAUUGCGUGCGUCUACGGUUUGGUGUUCUGAACACUACUGGAUCCAUGCAGGUUUUCGAAGCGUCGCGACGCCUCUGUGGUCGGCGUGUGCGCGGUUUGCACGAGAAUUCGCCUUACGGAAAACCGUGCAGAUGCAAAGAUUGCCCCGCAAAGAGUAGACUAUUUGAUCGCGAACCUGAUACCAUUCUGUUACCUUCAGCUUAUGAAUUGCAUUGCAUUCGAGGGAAAACUGGAGGAAUGCCGAGUGAGUGUUAGUUCUUGACAACGCAGCACGAGUGAGCCAGAAAUGGACGGAACGAUGCUCGAGGUACCACAGGAUAACGUAAAGUUCAAACGAUGUGCGGAGCUAAGUAAAUUAAACCAUUAUAAGGUCGAAAAAAGCACCCCCGGAUGUUCCCUUAGGGAGUCAGACCAGGCGUUAAAUCUUGACAGCAUGAUGUAUUUUUCCCGGGGCAUUUUCGCCAUCUUGACCCGGUAAGUAAAGCUUUUUAAAAAAAGUAAAAUGGGAUACGAACAAUUAACUUUCUUGUUGGCUUCUUUCACCAUCUACAUUAAAGAAAAAACUAAUAAAUAAUUAAUCUUUGCGAA
Onthophagus taurus is the source of this 1136-nucleotide long non-coding RNA. RefSeq lists it as uncharacterized. Lineage: Eukaryota; Metazoa; Arthropoda; Insecta; Coleoptera; Scarabaeidae. The record is from RefSeq and is a predicted model, not a curated record.